GAACUUAGCAGAGAUGCUUUGGUGCCUUCGGGAACUCUGAGACAGGUGCUGCAUGGCUGUCGUCAGCUCGUGUUGUGAAAUGUUGGUUAAGUCCCGCAACGAGCGCAACCCUUAUCCUUUGUUGCCAGCGGCUCGGCCGGGAACUCAAAGGAGACUGCCGGUGAUAAACCGGAGGAAGGUGGGGAUGACGUCAAGUCAUCAUGGCCCUUACGGCCAGGGCUACACACGUGCUACAAUGGCGCAUACAAAGAGAAGCGACCUCGCGAGAGCAAGCGGACCUCAUAAAGUGCGUCGUAGUCCGGAUUGGAGUCUGCAACUCGACUCCAUGAAGUCGGAAUCGCUAGUAAUCGUAGAUCAGAAUGCUACGGUGAAUACGUUCCCGGGCCUUGUACACACCACCCGUCACACCAUGGGAGUGGGUUGCAAAAGAAGUAGGUAGCUUAACCUUCGGGAGGGCGCUUACCACUUUGUGAUUCAUGACUGGGGUGAAGUCGUAACAAGGUAAGCGUAGACGU
RNAcentral lists this ribosomal RNA (515 nucleotides) under uncultured bacterium. Its description in RNAcentral is "bacterial SSU rRNA". It matches the Rfam family "Bacterial small subunit ribosomal RNA", at positions 993 to 1509 of the family's 1533-position model. The record is from RNAcentral.